Molecule: ribosomal RNA, 460 nt
Filed under: uncultured bacterium
Lineage: Bacteria
Description: partial 16S ribosomal RNA
Rfam family: Bacterial small subunit ribosomal RNA
Source: RNAcentral
UGGGGAAUAUUGGACAAUGGGGGCAACCCUGAUCCAGCAAUGCCGCGUGUGUGAAGAAGGUCUUCGGAUUGUAAAGCACUUUCGACGGGGACGAUGAUGACGGUACCCGUAGAAGAAGCCCCGGCUAACUUCGUGCCAGCAGCCGCGGUAAUACGAAGGGGGCUAGCGUUGCUCGGAAUGACUGGGCGUAAAGGGCGUGUAGGCGGUUUACACAGUCAGAUGUGAAAUCCCCGGGCUUAACCUGGGAGCUGCAUUUGAUACGUGUAGACUAGAGUGUGAGAGAGGGUUGUGGAAUUCCCAGUGUAGAGGUGAAAUUCGUAGAUAUUGGGAAGAACACCGGUGGCGAAGGCGGCAACCUGGCUCAUGACUGACGCUGAGGCGCGAAAGCGUGGGGAGCAAACAGGUUAGAUACCCUGGUAGUCCACGCUGUAAACAAUGUGUGCUAGAUGUUGGGUAACUU